AGUGAACGCUGGCGGUAGGCCUAACACAUGCCAGUCGAACGGCAGCACAGUAAGAGCUUGCUCUUACGGGUGGCGAGUGGCGGACGUGUGAGGAAUACAUCGGAAUCUACUUUUUCGUGUGGGUUCACGUAGGGAAACCUACGCUAAUACCGCAUACGACCUACGGUUGAAAGCAGUGGAUCUUCUGAGCUUGCGCGAAUGAAUGAGCCGAUGUCGGAUUAGCUAGUUGGCGGGGUAAAGGCCCACCAAGGCGACGAUCCGUAGCUGGUCGGAGAGGAGGGUCGGCCACACUGGAACGGAGACACGGACCAGACUACUACGAGAGGCAGCAGAGGGGAAUGUUGGACAAUGGGCGCAAGCCUGAUCCAGCCAUACCGCGUGGGUGAAGGAGACCUUCGGGUUGUGAAGCCCUUUUGUUGGGAAAGAAAAGCAGCAGGUUAAUACCCAGCUGUUCUGACGGUACCCAAUGAAUAAGCACCGGCUAACUUCGUG
This 492-nucleotide ribosomal RNA is filed under the name uncultured bacterium. RNAcentral's name for it is "partial 16S ribosomal RNA". It matches the Rfam family "Bacterial small subunit ribosomal RNA", at positions 29 to 507 of the family's 1533-position model. The record is from RNAcentral.